Molecule: ribosomal RNA, 930 nt
Filed under: Kryptoperidinium foliaceum
Lineage: Eukaryota; Dinophyceae; Peridiniales; Kryptoperidiniaceae
Description: partial Bacterial large subunit ribosomal RNA
Rfam family: Bacterial large subunit ribosomal RNA
Source: RNAcentral
AGCGAAAUUCCUUGUCGGGUAAGUUCCGACCUGCAUGAAUAGUGUAACGACUUCUCCACUGUCUCCACUACGAACUCAGUGAAAUUGAAUUAUCCGUGAAGAUGCGGAUACUCUACGGCUAGACGAUAAGACCCCGUGCACCUUUACUUCAUCUUUAUAUUGCUUUUAAAAAUAAAAUGUGUAGCAUAGGUGGGAGCUAGUUUACUAGCAUUAGUGAAAUACCACCCUUUUUAUUUUUUAUAGCUAACUUAAUAAAUAGAACAGUAUAUGGUUGGUAGUUUAACUGGGGCGGUUUCCUCCUAAAGAGUAACGGAGGAGUACAAAGGUAAAUUCAAACUGGUAGAAAUCAGUUUUAGAGCGCAAUGGUAUAAAUUUGCUUAACUGUAAGACUGACAAGUCAAACAGAAACUUUAGUAUAAGUUGGUCAUAGUGAUCCGGUGAUUUUGUAUGGAAAAGUCAUCGCUCAACGGAUAAAAGGUACGCCGGGGAUAACAGGCUAAUGACUCUUGAGAGCUCCUAUCGACGGAGUUGUUUGGCACCUCGAUGUCGGCUCAUCUCAUCCUGGGGCUGGAGCAGGUCCCAAGGGUUUGGCUGUUCGCCAAUGAAAGUGGUACGUGAGCUGGGUUCAGACCGUCGUGAGACAGGUCGGUCCCUAUCUGCCGUGGGCGUUCGAAUCUUGAUGGGAUUCAACUUUAGUACGAGAGGAUUUAGUUGGACGAAGCUCUGGUGUACCAGUUGUCGCGCUAGCGGCACGGCUGGAUAGCUAACUUCGGAAAGGAUAAACGCUGAAAGCAUCUAAGCGUGAAGCCCGCCCAGAGAUUAGGAUUCGUAGACAAUAGUCGAAAGCCCCCUGGAAGACUACCAGGUUGAUAGGUUGGACGUGUAAGUGCAGUAAUGCAUUAAGCAAACCAAUACUAACGGGCGAAAGUU